Molecule: long non-coding RNA, 1141 nt
Organism: Raphanus sativus (radish)
Lineage: Eukaryota; Viridiplantae; Streptophyta; Magnoliopsida; Brassicales; Brassicaceae
Exons: 4
Source: RefSeq, a predicted model, not a curated record
CCCAAACUAUUAACAGCCUAUGAUAUCCACGUUCUUCACCUUCUUCCUUUUGCGACUGCGUCUUCACCACCGACGAGAUGAUUCAGAAACCAAAUACACCCUCUCCUACCCGUAACGUUUCACAAGUCCUUUAAUCCGCCAUUUAUUUUUAUUUUUCCCUUGAUUAAUCAAAUCCUUCCUCAUUAAGAUUUCCGAGCACCUGUUCGUUUACCUUGAAACGGUGUAGAUCUCCAACUAUAAAUAUCUCACCUUCAUACCAUGCAAACUCCAACUCAAACCAAAUCCGAAAAUUUUCAACUUGCAAUCUUCCAAUUUCAAUGUCUAAUUCAUAUGUUAUUCUUGCUGACUUGAGAGCCGGGAGAUGCUCCAACGCGGCGGAGGUCCGUCUUUUGAUAUUCUGGGAGGCGAAGAACAUCAACAAAAGGGGACAACUGAUGAGCCUUGAGAUGUUAUUGAUCGAUGAACAAUCUACUUUGGUCCAAGGGUCUGUUCCUGCGUCUCUACGGGUAUCGGGUCGUUUUUUCUGUGUCAGACAUCACUGGCAUAGCUGGUUUUGUUGGCUUCGAUAAAGAGAUUGCUAAGGUGACUCAUGUUUUGGCAUCAGAAGCUGCACAAAUUGUGGGAAGGUGGACACUGACCUCCCUUGAUCACUCUCUGAUGUGGUAGGGAACACCUACACUUUUCAGCUCAAGCUAAAAGACUUCAAUUUCACUGCAAACCACCAAACCUUUACCAUUUCCCGCAUCUUUCCUGCACGAGAACUUUGCACCCAUCCCAACCUUCGCCGAAGGUGCAGCGGACCCUGAAGCAGCGGUACAUCAGACUGUUGUUCCAGGAUCUGAUUCUAUAGAUGCAAGGUCAAGCAAUGUCGCAGAGCAAGCAACCACCUCUGAUGGUCGUCUUGCGGGGCUUCAAGCAGCCGCUGAAGGACUUGAUCAGGAGAGUGCACCGAAGAAAGCAUGUGUGGAAUGAGUCCUCUUUAUAACCCAAACAACCACGUUAUCUCUACCAGUUUGUUGUUCCGUUUUGAGCUGCGCUUCUUAGUUUAAGUAUUGUUCAGUAUUUCUGCUUUUUUUCUUUUUAAACUCAGACAAGUGGUUGUUCGUUUUUUAAGUUUAAUGAACUCUUCUCGCAUAAACCA